UACGUAGGGUGCAAGCGUUAAUCGGAAUUACUGGGCGUAAAGCGUGCGCAGGCGGUUUUGUAAGUCUGUCGUGAAAGCCCCGGCUCAACCUGGGAAUUGCGAUGGAGACUGCAAGGCUUGAAUCUGGCAGAGGGGGGUAGAAUUCCACGUGUAGCAGUGAAAUGCGUAGAGAUGUGGAGGAACACCGAUGGCGAAGGCAGCCCCCUGGGUCAAGAUUGACGCUCAUGCACGAAAGCGUGGGGAGCAAACAGG
RNAcentral lists this ribosomal RNA (252 nucleotides) under uncultured bacterium. Its description in RNAcentral is "partial 16S ribosomal RNA". It matches the Rfam family "Bacterial small subunit ribosomal RNA", at positions 524 to 776 of the family's 1533-position model. The record is from RNAcentral.